UCCUCACUAGCUCAGUCAGUGGAGCAUGUGACUCUUGAUCUUGGGGUUGUGGGUUCAAGUCCCAUGCUGGGUG
RNAcentral lists this transfer RNA (73 nucleotides) under Felis catus (domestic cat). It matches the Rfam family "tRNA". Rfam says of the family: Transfer RNA (tRNA) molecules are approximately 80 nucleotides in length. Lineage: Eukaryota; Metazoa; Chordata; Mammalia; Carnivora; Felidae. The record is from Rfam by way of RNAcentral. RNAcentral also lists the same sequence under 1 other name.